RNAcentral lists this ribosomal RNA (481 nucleotides) under uncultured bacterium. RNAcentral's name for it is "SSU rRNA". It matches the Rfam family "Bacterial small subunit ribosomal RNA", at positions 26 to 523 of the family's 1533-position model. The record is from RNAcentral.
AGGAUGAACGCUGGCGGCGUGCCUAACACAUGCAAGUCGAACGUCCUGUCUCGCAAGAGGCAGGGAGUGGCGGACGGGUGAGUACCACGUGGGUGAUCUACCGUGAGGUGAGGAAUACCGGCGAGAAAUCGCCGACAAGACCGCAUAGCCUCGGUGCAAGCCGAGGAAAGCUCUCUCGAGAGAGGGAGCGCCACACGAGGAGCCUGCGCCCGAUUAGCUAGCUGGUGGAGUAACGGUUCACCAGGGCGACGAUCGGUAGCUGGUCUGAGAGGACGAUCAGCCACACUGGGAUUGAGAACGGCCCAGACUCCGUACGGGGGGCAGCAGUGAGGAAUUUUCGUCAAUGGGGGCAACCCUGAACGAGCAACGCCGCGUGCAGGAAGAAGGUUUUCGGAUCGUAAACUGCUUUUUCGUCGGGGAAGAGAACGGACGGUACCCGAGGAAUCAGCCCCGGCUAACUACGUGCCAGCAGCCGCGGUAA